GUCAUUAGGUUUUAUUGAUGAGUGCCCCCAUCUUUGGGUUGAGGUCGGAAACUUUUCAGACCACCCUUGGCUAAAUUUUUGGAGGUUAUUUAAAAUGUUUUUGUGUGAACUUUUAGUUUUGUCCAAAUAUUCUUUAUUGAUACUAAUGGUUUCUUUACGUAUGGUACUUGAAGUUUUGUUCAUUUUACCCUAAAAACAAUUUAACAAUAUUUAAUAUAACAAACAGAAUAUUUAAAUAGAAAGCAUGCGCAUAACGUUCUCUCAUAUUUACCUAACCUAUAAAAGUCCUAUUUUUUAAUGUUCGAAGCGAAGAAAAUUUGAUAUUAUAUUUGUUAAAAAUCUCAAGACAUAAUCUCUAUAUAAGUUGGGUGUUUUGUGAUUAACAGUUGGACCAGUUUUUAUUGUUAGUGUUGAGGUUCUCUUUAAGACUAUAAUGUCAAAUGAAACUACUUUAACUCUCGAAGAAAAACAUCAAAUCGUUGUCUGGAACCACAAUGGAUUUUCAGAUAAUGAGAUCCAAAAUUUAUUUCCUAAAAUGUUUGGAAAUAGACCUGUUCCAUCAUCAACUACUAUCCAGACAAUUAUGGAAAAUUUACGCACACUCGGAUGUUUAUUCCCUGAAAACCACAAAAUGGAAUCAAAGGUGAAACGGUUAAAACAGAAACGUAAACGACGGAAUAAAAAGAUCUGUGAGGGUGUAGAUCAAAGCCCAUCACAUUCAAGUAGGGAGACUGCACAUGAAGUAGAAACGUCUCAGGAUGAAUCCAAGGGGCUUCUAUUACCUUCAACAUGUCCAGAAGAUGAAGGAGAAAAAUGCGAAUUACUAAAUAUCAUAAAAUCUGAACCGGAAGAUAUUUAAAAAAAAAUUAGGAUGAAAGGAUUCAGAGAAUAUCCUAAAACUACAGAUUUGUCAUGAUUGAAGAAGUGUGGUACUUGGGGAGUACCCUGUGAGUGGGAGAGACAAGCUACUCAAUGAUUAACUUUGAACUUGAUCGUAAGAUUGCAUUCAACUAAUUAGUACCUGUAUUCAAAUAUUACAAAAGCGUGAUAAAAUAAUUUUUUGCGAAUGAUGGUUGUUGAUAUUUAUUAUACUCAAUUAUUACAUAGAUUUUGUAAUAUAGUUAUAAGUAUAUUUUAAAAUAAAUAAUUAUGUAAGAAGUACGUUUUUGAUGCUUCCU
Aethina tumida (small hive beetle) is the source of this 1178-nucleotide long non-coding RNA. RefSeq lists it as uncharacterized. The transcript is spliced from 3 exons. Lineage: Eukaryota; Metazoa; Arthropoda; Insecta; Coleoptera; Nitidulidae. The record is from RefSeq and is a predicted model, not a curated record.